CAGUAGCCGCGGUAAUACAGAGGGUGCGAGCGUUAAUCGGAUUUACUGGGCGUAAAGCGUGCGUAGGCGGCUUCUUAAGUCGGAUGUGAAAUCCCUGAGCUUAACUUAGGAAUUGCAUUCGAUACUGGGAAGCUAGAGUAUGGUAGAGGAUAGUGGAAUUUCCGGUGUAGCAGUGAAAUGCGUAGAGAUCGGAAGGAACAUCUGUGGCGAAGGCGACUAUCUGGGCCAACACUGACACUGAGGCACGAAAGCGUGGGGAGCAAACAGGAUUAGAUACCCCUGUAGUCCCUGUCUCUUAUAC
This 301-nucleotide ribosomal RNA is filed under the name uncultured bacterium. RNAcentral describes it as "partial 16S ribosomal RNA". It matches the Rfam family "Bacterial small subunit ribosomal RNA", at positions 509 to 807 of the family's 1533-position model. The record is from RNAcentral.